Molecule: long non-coding RNA, 933 nt
Organism: Lycium barbarum (goji berry)
Lineage: Eukaryota; Viridiplantae; Streptophyta; Magnoliopsida; Solanales; Solanaceae
Exons: 6
Source: RefSeq, a predicted model, not a curated record
CUUAUUUAUAAAAUAACUUAUAUUACUUAAAAAAUACUUUUACUUUUGUUUCGGUUAAUCCAAACUGGCUGUAUAUUAUAUUUUGCUCAUGAUUAGUGACUUUCCUUUCAAUCUGACCAACAAAGCUGAUGGUCACUGAGAGCUGACUAAUCAACUUCCUUUCCUCUGUGCCGAAGCAAUGGCCACGUCAUACAGCUCGCCGUCACUUUCCAUCCGAUCACCUCCGUCAACUCUACUACUUCAUAUUCCUCAGCGCUAUAAUCUUACCUCUAACUCUUCUUUUACCCGGUUGAAAAUGUCAAUUCCGUCAACCCCACAAACUACAGCAAUCCCUGACAAUAGCACAGUUUUAGGUUGUGGAAUGACCGCAGUGGAUUUCCUUGUUGCUGUUGAUUCUUAUCCUAAGCCUGACGAUAAGAUUUGAAGCACAAGUUUUCAGGUUGAAGGAGGUGGUAAUGCAGGGAAUGCUUUGACUUGUACAGCUCGUUUGGGUCUAUCUCCAAGAAUUAUAUCAAAGGUUGCAGAUGAUUCUCAAGGGAAAGCAAUACUGGAAGAGUUAGAAGCUGAUGGGGUUGAUACAUCGUUUAUGGUGGUUUCCGAAGGGGGCCAUUCAACAUUCUCUUACGUCAUUGUCGAUAGUCAAGCGUGAGUGCUCUCAGUUUUUGUUAACUGCUGUUUUGGUGAUUGUUUGUUGGCACAUAGAAUUUGUUUUUUCAGAGCCUUAACAUCAAUGCAGGAUGUGGAACUUUUUCUAGUUUGGCAGAAUCAAUAAAGAAAAAGUUCUGCUGGGGUUUGCUUUAUAUUUGGUUUCUGGAUAAGUAACAGUAUACCGUAUAUUGCUUACGCAAGAACCAAUAAAUGUUGUUUGUUGAGGAUUUGAGAUACAUGCCACUUGUAAGUUAGCCUGAAAAAGUAACAGAAAUUGUUAAGUCA